This 143-nucleotide antisense RNA is filed under the name Coxiella burnetii RSA 493. Its description in RNAcentral is "Coxiella burnetii sRNA 3". It matches the Rfam family "Coxiella burnetii sRNA 3", at positions 1 to 145 of the family's 198-position model. From Rfam's summary of the family: CbSRs 2, 3, 4 and 9 are located antisense to identified ORFs. CbSRs are up-regulated during intracellular growth in host cells. Lineage: Bacteria; Pseudomonadati; Pseudomonadota; Gammaproteobacteria; Legionellales; Coxiellaceae. The record is from Rfam by way of RNAcentral.
GCCGUGAAAGCCCUCGAUUCUUUGUCUAUCGAUAGACGGCCUACGCACGGGAACGACGGACAUUUUUCCAACUACUUGAUUCCCUCUUUACCUCACUCCCUUAAGUUGACGCCUAUGCGCCUGCGCGGGGAUGACGGGCUUUA